UACGUAGGGGGCUAGCGUUAUCCGGAAUUACUGGGCGUAAAGGGUGCGUAGGUGGUUUCUUAAGUCAGAGGUGAAAGGCUGCGGCUCAACCGUAGUAAGCCUUUGAAACUGGGAAACUUGAGUGCAGGAGAGGAGAGUGGAAUUCCUAGUGUAGCGGUGAAAUGCGUAGAUAUUAGGAGGAACACCAGUUGCGAAGGCGGCUCUCUGGACUGUAACUGACACUGAGGCACGAAAGCGUGGGGAGCAAACAGG
This 252-nucleotide ribosomal RNA is filed under the name uncultured bacterium. RNAcentral describes it as "partial 16S ribosomal RNA". It matches the Rfam family "Bacterial small subunit ribosomal RNA", at positions 524 to 776 of the family's 1533-position model. The record is from RNAcentral.